UACCAGCACCCCGAGUGGUCGGGACGAUUAUUGGGCCUAAAGCAUCCGUAGCCGGCCUUACAAGUCCCCCGUUAAAUCCAACUGCUUAACAGAUGGGCUGCGGAGGAUACUAUAAGACUAGGAGGCAGGAGAGGCAAGCGGUACUCAGUGGGUAGGGGUAAAAUCCGUUGAUCCAUUGAAGACCACCAGUGGCGAAGGCGGCAUCCUGGACCGGCAUUGACGCUGAGGCGCGAAAGCCAGGGGAGCAAACGGG
RNAcentral lists this ribosomal RNA (253 nucleotides) under uncultured bacterium. RNAcentral describes it as "partial 16S ribosomal RNA". It matches the Rfam family "Archaeal small subunit ribosomal RNA", at positions 474 to 727 of the family's 1478-position model. The record is from RNAcentral.